ACACUGACGUCGCGACGCAUAUCAAUAAGCGGAGGAAAAGAAACUAACUAGGAUUCCCUUAGUAACGGCGAGUGAAGCGGGAAGAGCUCAAAUUUGAAAUCUUCAAGGUUCUACCUUGACGAAUUGUAGUUUAAAGAAGUGUUUUCUGUUGGAGUGGCUAAAAGUUCUUUGGAAUAGGACAUCAUAGAGGGUGAGAAUCCCGUAUUUGGUCAUUCCUUCUAGCUUUGUGAUACACUUUCAAAGAGUCGGAUUGUUUGGGAAUGCAGUCCAAAAUGGGUGGUAAAUUUCAUCUAAAGCUAAAUAUUGGCGAGAGACCGAUAGCGAACAAGUACCGUGAGGGAAAGAUGAAAAGAACUUUGAAAAGAGAGUUAAACAGUACGUGAAAUUGUCAAAAGGGAAGCGUUUGACACCAGUGUUGUUUUUCCGAAAAUCAAUUAUAGAUGUUUUGUUUCUGAGGAGUGAUGACUUCAUCGGCUUCCUUCUCUCUUCACGAAACUUUUGUAAUGCACUUUUCGGUUAACAAGUCAACAUCAAUUUCUUUUGUUGUAAAAGAGUAUUCGGAAGGUGGCUUUCUUUUCGGAGAAAGUGUUUAUAGCCCUAUACUUCUACAAUCGGAGAGAUUGAGGUCUGCAGCGUAGAUCCUUCGGGGUUAGAUACACUUGUGCUAAGUUAUAGCUUUUCAUAGACAACUUGUUGACUAUGUUUAGUCAUUGUAGCUUACUCGCAUUGAUAGCUAUUUUACCUACGCUUAGGAUGUUGAGUCGUAGAGCACGCAG
This 776-nucleotide ribosomal RNA is filed under the name uncultured Neocallimastigales. Its description in RNAcentral is "partial large subunit ribosomal RNA". It matches the Rfam family "Eukaryotic large subunit ribosomal RNA", at positions 25 to 634 of the family's 3401-position model. The record is from RNAcentral. Lineage: Eukaryota; Fungi; Neocallimastigomycota; Neocallimastigomycetes; Neocallimastigales.